This 298-nucleotide unclassified non-coding RNA is filed under the name Hevea brasiliensis (rubber tree). The record is from RNAcentral. Lineage: Eukaryota; Viridiplantae; Streptophyta; Magnoliopsida; Malpighiales; Euphorbiaceae.
AGGGUGGCGCUGAUCCAGUUCUCGGAGACCUUGUGGUGGAUCUUGGUGGGCAGAUCCUUCCAGAGACCACUCAUUGUCUUCUGCUGGAAUGGUGAAAGAGCAUACACCACCGCCUUCAUUCUCACUGGCUGCUUCCCCAUGUCUCUCCUUCUUCCGAAGGUUUUUUAUUUCCUCCUGAUUGUCUAUAGAAGAUUAAGCCAGAACACACUUUCUCUUGCUUCCCCAAUUCCACAUGAAGAGCUUUGUUUACAUUUGCCAGGCAGCAGCCUUGGCAAUUUGACCAUUUCUGGAUUCUGUU